UCAUCGGUGGUUCAGUGGUAGAAUGCUCGCCUGCCACGCGAGCAGCCCGGGUUCGAUUCCCGGCCAAUGCA
This 71-nucleotide transfer RNA is filed under the name Heliconius melpomene (postman butterfly). RNAcentral describes it as "tRNA HMEL014917". It matches the Rfam family "tRNA". From Rfam's summary of the family: Transfer RNA (tRNA) molecules are approximately 80 nucleotides in length. Their secondary structure includes four short double-helical elements and three loops (D, anti-codon, and T loops). Lineage: Eukaryota; Metazoa; Arthropoda; Insecta; Lepidoptera; Nymphalidae. The record is from RNAcentral.